Molecule: ribosomal RNA, 262 nt
Filed under: uncultured marine eukaryote
Lineage: Eukaryota
Description: partial 18S ribosomal RNA
Rfam family: Eukaryotic small subunit ribosomal RNA (bases 56-262)
Source: RNAcentral
UCUGGCUCGGUCUGGCAUCCUCUUGGGGAACGUCGCAAUCUUGAUUGAUCGUGGCGGAAUUCAAGACUUUUACUUUGAGGAAAUUAGAGCGUUCACAGCAAGCAAGUGCUUUGAAUACAUUAGCAUGGAAUAAUGAUAUAGGACCUUUGUUCUAUUUUGUUGGUUUCUAGAACUAAGGUAAUGAUUAAUAGGGACAAUUGGGGGCAUUCGUAUUAACGCGUCAGAGGUGGAAUUCUUGGAUUGCGUUACGACGAACUACUGC